UAAUACGUAGGGGGCGAGCGUUGUCCGGAUUUAUUGGGCGUAAAGAGCUCGUAGGCGGCUCAGCAAGUCGGCCGUGAAAACCUGAGGCUCAACCUCAGGACGCCGGUCGAAACUGCUGUGGCUAGGGUUCGGUAGAGGAGAGUGGAAUUCCCGGUGUAGCGGUGAAAUGCGCAGAUAUCGGGAGGAACACCAGUAGCGAAGGCGGCUCUCUGGGCCGACACCGACGCUGAGGAGCGAAAGCUAGGGGAGCGAACAGGAUUAGAUACCCUGGUAGUCCUAGCCGUAAACGUUGGGAACUAGGUGUGGCGGAUUCAUUGACAUCUGCCGUGCCGAAGCUAACGCAUUAAGUUCCCCGCCUGGGGAGUACGGUCGCAAGGCUA
RNAcentral lists this ribosomal RNA (380 nucleotides) under uncultured Actinomycetes bacterium. Its description in RNAcentral is "bacterial SSU rRNA". It matches the Rfam family "Bacterial small subunit ribosomal RNA", at positions 521 to 896 of the family's 1533-position model. Lineage: Bacteria; Bacillati; Actinomycetota; Actinomycetes. The record is from RNAcentral.